GUAGCGGCGAGUGAAGCGGCAAAAGCUCAAAUUUGAAAUCUGGCACUUUCAGUGUCCGAGUUGUAAUUUGAAGAAGGUAUCUUUGGGUCUGGCUCUUGUCUAUGUUUCUUGGAACAGAACGUCACAGAGGGUGAGAAUCCCGUGCGAUGAGAUGACCCAGACCUAUGUAAAGUUCCUUCGAAGAGUCGAGUUGUUUGGGAAUGCAGCUCUAAGUGGGUGGUAAAUUCCAUCUAAAGCUAAAUAUUGGCGAGAGACCGAUAGCGAACAAGUACAGUGAUGGAAAGAUGAAAAGAACUUUGAAAAGAGAGUGAAAAAGUACGUGAAAUUGUUGAAAGGGAAGGGCUUGAGAUCAGACUUGGUAUUUUGUAUGUUACUCUUUCGGGGGUGGCCUCUACAGUUUACCGGGCCAGCAUCAGUUUGGGCGGUAGGAGAAUUGCAAAGAAAUGUGGCACUGCCUCGGUAGUGUGUUAUAGUCUUUGUCGAUACUGCCAGCCUAGACUGAGGACUGCGGCUUCGGCCUAGGA
This 524-nucleotide ribosomal RNA is filed under the name Lodderomyces metapsilosis. RNAcentral describes it as "LSU rRNA". It matches the Rfam family "Eukaryotic large subunit ribosomal RNA", at positions 83 to 612 of the family's 3401-position model. Lineage: Eukaryota; Fungi; Ascomycota; Pichiomycetes; Serinales; Debaryomycetaceae. The record is from RNAcentral.